GACGAACGCUGGCGGCGUGCUUAACACAUGCAAGUCGAGCGGUAAGGCCCUUUCGGGGGUACACGAGCGGCGAACGGGUGAGUAACACGUGGGUGACCUGCCCUCAGCUCUGGGAUAAGCCUGGGAAACCGGGUCUAAUACCGGAUAUGACUCCAUGACGCAUGUUGUGGGGUGAAAGCCUUGUGCGGCUGAGGAUGGGCCCGCGGCCUAUCAGCUUGUUGGUGGGGUGANGGCCUACCAAGGCGACGACGGGUAGCCGGCCUGAGAGGCGACCGGCCACACUGGGACUGAGACACGGCCCAGACUCCUACGGGAGGCAGCAGUGGGGAAUCUUGCGCAAUGGGCGAAAGCCUGACGCAGCGACGCCGCGUGAGGGAUGACGGCCUGGUU
Molecule: ribosomal RNA, 390 nt
Filed under: uncultured bacterium
Lineage: Bacteria
Description: bacterial SSU rRNA
Rfam family: Bacterial small subunit ribosomal RNA
Source: RNAcentral